AAUCAUGGCCGACGUACUUGGAAAGUUGCCUCUUCACGAUAUUCGGUGCCGAAUCGGGGUCUCGGCGGUCUCGGCCUAGACAAUGCCGUUGUUUAAUUGCCGAGAACUGUGAAUUGUUGCGGCGGCGGAAAAAAAGGUCGAACGUUUCGGGGGCACUUUUGCUUGCGAACGGGAUUAUCAGGAAGUUGGCUAUACAAAAACUACGUGUCUUUGAACGUGUGAAUAUUCAUCGGUUGGUUUCGAACUACGCAAUUUGCUUCGUGGUUGGCUCUUUUGCAUGCACUUACCGGUAAAAAUUACCAUUAACAACUUAUUUAACGUCAUUUCAAAGUGCUUAAAUCUUAAGUAUUGUCAUUAAAGUAAUAAUAAAAACAAGAUUAU
Aethina tumida (small hive beetle) is the source of this 381-nucleotide long non-coding RNA. RefSeq lists it as uncharacterized. The record is from RefSeq and is a predicted model, not a curated record. Lineage: Eukaryota; Metazoa; Arthropoda; Insecta; Coleoptera; Nitidulidae. The transcript has 2 exons.